RNAcentral lists this ribosomal RNA (460 nucleotides) under uncultured bacterium. Its description in RNAcentral is "partial 16S ribosomal RNA". It matches the Rfam family "Bacterial small subunit ribosomal RNA", at positions 338 to 795 of the family's 1533-position model. The record is from RNAcentral.
CCUACGGGUGGCAGCAGUGAGGAAUAUUGGUCAAUGUGCGAGAGCCUGAACCAGCCAAGUCGCGUGAAGGAUGACGGCCCUACGGGUUGUAAACUUCUUUUGUCAGGGAGCAAUUGAGUCCACGUGUGGGCUUAGCGAGAGUACCUUAAGAAAAAGCAUCGGCUAACACCGUGCCAGCAGCCGCGGUAAUACGGAGGCUGCGAGCGUUAUCCGGAUUUAUUGGGUUUAAAGGGUGCGUAGGCGGAAGAUCAAGUCAGCGGUAAAAAUUCGGGGCUCAACCCCGUCGUGCCGUUGAAACUGAUGUUCUGGAGGUGGCGAGAAGUAUGCGGAAUGCGUGGUGUAGCGGUGAAAUGCAGAGAUAUCACGCAGAACUCCGAUUGCGAAGGCAGCAUACCGGCGCGCAACUGACGCUCAUGCACGAAAGCGUGGGUAUCGAACAGGAUUAGAUACCCCUGUAGUC